CCUACGGGGGGCUGCAGUGGGGAAUAUUGGACAAUGGGGGGAACCCUGAUCCAGCCAUGCCGCGUGUGUGAAGAAGGCCCGCGGGUUGUAAAGCACUUUCAGUGAGGAAGAACGCCUGGUGGUUAAUACCCAUCAGGAAAGACAUCACUCACAGAAGAAGCACCGGCUAACUCCGUGCCAGCAGCCGCGGUAAUACGGAGGGUGCGAGCGUUAAUCGGAAUUACUGGGCGUAAAGCGCGCGUAGGUGGCUUGAUAAGCCGGUUGUGAAAGCCCCGGGCUCAACCUGGGAACGGCAUCCGGAACUGUCAAGCUAGAGUGCAGGAGAGGAAGGUAGAAUUCCCGGUGUAGCGGUGAAAUGCGUAGAGAUCGGGAGGAAUACCAGUGGCGAAGGCGGCCUUCUGGACUGACACUGACACUGAGGUGCGAAAGCGUGGGUAGCAAACAGGAUUAGAUACCCGUGUAGUC
This 465-nucleotide ribosomal RNA is filed under the name Vreelandella stevensii. RNAcentral describes it as "partial 16S ribosomal RNA". It matches the Rfam family "Bacterial small subunit ribosomal RNA", at positions 338 to 795 of the family's 1533-position model. Lineage: Bacteria; Pseudomonadati; Pseudomonadota; Gammaproteobacteria; Oceanospirillales; Halomonadaceae. The record is from RNAcentral.